This 426-nucleotide ribosomal RNA is filed under the name uncultured bacterium. Its description in RNAcentral is "bacterial SSU rRNA". It matches the Rfam family "Bacterial small subunit ribosomal RNA", at positions 356 to 773 of the family's 1533-position model. The record is from RNAcentral.
GGGGAAUUGUUCGCAAUGGGCGCAAGCCUGACGACGCAACGCCGCGUGGAGGAUGAAGACCUUCGGGUCGUAAACUCCUUUCGACCGAGAUGAAUUCCUGCCGGCUGAACACGCUGGCAGAUUGACAGUAUCGAGGGAAUCAGCCCCGGCUAACUCCGUCCCAGCAGCCGCGGUAAUGCGGGGGGGGCAAGCGUUGUUCGGAAUUACUGGGCGUAAAGGGUCGGUAGGUGGCCCGCUAAGUCACACGUGAAAUCCCUCAGCUCAACUGGGGAACUGCGUGUGAGACUGGCAGGCUUGAGGGCAGGAGAGGAACGCGGAAUUCCAGGUGUAGCGGUGAAAUGCGUAGAUAUCUGGAGGAACACCGGUGGCGAAGGCGGCGUUCUGGACUGUCUCUGACACUGAACGACGAAAGCCAGGGGAGCAAAC